Molecule: small nucleolar RNA, 118 nt
Organism: Dipodomys ordii (Ord's kangaroo rat)
Lineage: Eukaryota; Metazoa; Chordata; Mammalia; Rodentia; Heteromyidae
Source: Ensembl
AGCCUCCAGGCUGUGUUCUUCCACUGAAUGUAUAGAAAGAGGAGGCAGAGUAAGCCUACCGCAUCUACACCUCAGCCAGGCCCUAUGCCUGCUCUGUAUUAUGAAUGGGGAGACAUGG